Molecule: ribosomal RNA, 250 nt
Filed under: uncultured prokaryote
Description: partial 16S ribosomal RNA
Rfam family: Bacterial small subunit ribosomal RNA
Source: RNAcentral
UACGUAGGGAGCGAGCGUUGUCCGGAAUUACUGGGUGUAAAGGGAGCGUAGGCGGGGAUGCGAGUCAGGUGUGAAAACUACAGGCUCAACCUGUAGACUGCACUUGAAACUGUGUUUCUUGAGUGAAGUAGAGGCAGGCGGAAUUCUUAGUGUAGCGGUGAAAUGCGUAGAUAUUAGGAGGAACACCAGUGGCGAAGGCGGCCUGCUGGGCUUUUACUGACGCUGAGGCUCGAAAGCGUGGGGAGCAAAC